CGCCUGUAGACCUGCCUCAUUACAGGUACAUCCUGCCCAGUGAACUAUUUAAACGGCCGCGGUAUCCUGACCGUGCAAAGGUAGCAUAAUCAUUUGCCCCCUAAUUAGGGGCUAGCAUGAAUGGACAAACGAGAUUAUGACUGUCUCCUUUAUACCCAUAAAAAUUAAUCUACAGGUGAAGAAGCCUGUUUUUAUAUAAAAGACAAGAAGACCCUGCUGAGCUUUAAUUAUCUAUAAAAUACAUCAACAUUCCUAUCAAAUAAUCCCCCUUAUAAAUAAUUUUUGUUGGGGCGACAAUGGAGCACACAAACCCUCCACCAUACUUAAAACACCAGAGUUUCACAAAAGAUCCUCCUAAAGAUACUAGGCACUAGCUACCACAGGGAUAACAGACUAAUCUUCCUUAAGAGCCCAAAUCUACAGGAAGGCUUGGCACCUCGAUGUUGGCUUAGGAUUACACUUGAAUGUAGCCGUUCAAGCUGUAGGUUUGUUCAACCUUUAAUCUCCU
This 508-nucleotide ribosomal RNA is filed under the name Palola sp. AS-2005. Its description in RNAcentral is "partial 16S ribosomal RNA". It matches the Rfam family "Bacterial large subunit ribosomal RNA", at positions 1827 to 2597 of the family's 2925-position model. Lineage: Eukaryota; Metazoa; Annelida; Polychaeta; Eunicida; Eunicidae. The record is from RNAcentral.